GGACGUCUGCUCGACAUGGUACAGGGCAAUGCCCUGAAACUCGGACAGGUCGAGUUUCUGGUGCUCGACGAAGCCGACCGCAUGCUCGACAUGGGUUUCAUCAACGACAUCCGCAAAAUCGUCGCUUCCGACGAAACGUCAGACGCUGUUCUUCUCGGCAACCAUGCCGAAGGACAUCGCCGAUCUCGCAGAGCAGAUGCUGCAUAACCCGGCCCGCGUUGCCGUGACGCCGGUGGCGU
This 239-nucleotide unclassified non-coding RNA is filed under the name Hevea brasiliensis (rubber tree). The record is from RNAcentral. Lineage: Eukaryota; Viridiplantae; Streptophyta; Magnoliopsida; Malpighiales; Euphorbiaceae.